UACGUAGGUGGCAAGCGUUGUCCGGAUUUAUUGGGCGUAAAGCGCGCGCAGGCGGCUAUGUAAGUCUGGUGUUAAAGCCCGGGGCUCAACCCCGGUUCGCAUCGGAAACUGCAGAGCUUGAGUGCAGAAGAGGAAAGCGGUAUUCCACGUGUAGCGGUGAAAUGCGUAGAGAUGUGGAGGAACACCAGUGGCGAAGGCGGCUUUCUGGUCUGUAACUGACGCUGAGGCGCGAAAGCGUGGGGAGCAAACAGG
Molecule: ribosomal RNA, 252 nt
Filed under: uncultured bacterium
Lineage: Bacteria
Description: partial 16S ribosomal RNA
Rfam family: Bacterial small subunit ribosomal RNA
Source: RNAcentral